AUAGAUACCCAGGUAGUCCACGCCCUAAACGAUGCGAACUGGAUGUUGGGUACAUUACGGUACUCAGUGUCGAAGCUAACGCGUUAAGUUCGCCGCCUGGGGAGUACGGUCGCAAGACUGAAACUCAAAGGAAUUGACGGGGGCCCGCACAAGCGGUGGAGUAUGUGGUUUAAUUCGAUGCAACGCGAAGAACCUUACCUGGCCUUGACAUCUGUCGAAUCCUGCAGAGAUGCGGGAGUGCCGCAAGGAACGACAAGACAGGUGCUGCAUGGCUGUCGUCAGCUCGUGUCGUGAGAUGUUGGGUUAAGUCCCGCAACGAGCGCAACCCUUGUCCCUAGUUGCCAGCACGUAAUGGUGGGAACUCUAGGGAGACUGCCGGUGACAAACCGGAGGAAGGUGGGGAUGACGUCAAGUCCUCAUGGCCCUUACGGCCAGGGCUACACACGUACUACAAUGGUCGGUACAGAGGGUUGCGAAGCUGCGAGGUGGAGCCAAUCCCAGAAAACCCGAUCCCAGUCCGGAUCGGAGUCUG
Molecule: ribosomal RNA, 532 nt
Filed under: uncultured bacterium
Lineage: Bacteria
Description: bacterial SSU rRNA
Rfam family: Bacterial small subunit ribosomal RNA
Source: RNAcentral